GGUUUUCCGACUUUCAGACCUAGAGCUUUGGUAUUAUCCGAUGACUUUGUCUUCGCUCGAUAGACGUUUUGGGUAACUUCCGACGUCUGUGACCUGUUGGUGUUAUCCGAUGAAUUUGUCUUCGCUUGAUAGACGUUUUGGGUAACUUUCCGGCGUCUGUGACCUUAUUCCCGUGAGUUUCAGAAUCUACGGUUUCCGGUGUUGGACUAGGGUUUUCUCUGUUGAUUGAAGGCCGAUCUUCUCCGGUCGCGAAGAAGGAGGGUAACUCUAUCCUUAUUUUGAGUAUUGCAUGCUUUGUAUGUGAACUCUGGUUCCGUAUAUUUUGCUUGCCGAAACUGUUUUCCUUUCAAACUGGUUCAUUAAUCAUUGCUUCUAAUACGAAUGCUAGUACCUCCUCGGUAGACUCUACCAGCCCCCUUUUUGUCUACUCCUUUUGUGUCCCUGGGGUCUCUCUUGUGCCCACUCCCUUCUCAGGCAGUGGUUAUGGGGGUUGGAGGAGGAAAAUGAUUGUCGCGUUAUCGGCUAAAAACAAAAUUGGUUUUGUUGAUGGCACAUGUUCCCGUCCAGUCACUAAUGUGACUCAGCAAAGGUUAUGGGACAGAUGCAAUAAUAUGGUGAUUUCCUGGUUAACUGCCUCCCUUUCCCCUCAAAUUGCUGAAAGUGUGCAGUAUUCUGAUACUGCACAGAGUAUAUGGUCCCAACUUCAGGACAGAUAUGGCACUGCAAACAGGACCAGAAUUUUUGAAUUGAAAAGAGAGCUUUCUCACACCUCUCAAGGGUCCCAAGAUGUAGCUUCAUAUUUUAAUAAACUCAAAGGUCUGUGGGACGAAUUAGAAUUAAUGUGUGCCAAUCAUGGGCAAAGAUGUGUUUGUGCUGCCAAAGAUGGUAUAAUACAGGAAAAUGAUGAAAAUAAGGUAUUUCAGUUUUUAAUGGGCCUUAAUGAAGCAUACAUGGGGGUAAGGAGUAAUCUAUUGAUGAUGCAGCCACCUCCAACCCUUUACAGUGUCUAUAAUAUGGUCCUCAAGCAGAGACAAGUCCAGUCCCCUUCUCAGUUUAAUCCAGACUCCAUGUCUUUCAAUGUCCAUACUAAUAGACAUUCAGUUGGAUUCAACAAGGCCACAAUGCCUAAUCCUUCUCCUCCUUUCAGACAAAGAGUCAAUUUUGACCAAGCUAGANNNN
This 1179-nucleotide long non-coding RNA is filed under the name Nicotiana benthamiana. RNAcentral describes it as "long non-coding RNA (NBEN_LNC003862)". Lineage: Eukaryota; Viridiplantae; Streptophyta; Magnoliopsida; Solanales; Solanaceae. The record is from RNAcentral.